RNAcentral lists this ribosomal RNA (448 nucleotides) under uncultured bacterium. RNAcentral's name for it is "partial 16S ribosomal RNA". It matches the Rfam family "Bacterial small subunit ribosomal RNA", at positions 29 to 523 of the family's 1533-position model. The record is from RNAcentral.
AACGAACGCUGGCGGCAGGCCUAACACAUGCAAGUCGAACGCCGUAGCAAUACGGAGUGGCAGACGGGUGAGUAACACGUGGGAACGUACCCUUCGGUUCGGAAUAACUCAGGGAAACUUGAGCUAAUACCGGAUACGUCCGAGAGGAGAAAGAUUUAUCGCCGAAGGAUCGGCCCGCGUCUGAUUAGCUUGUUGGUGAGGUAACGGCUCACCAAGGCGACGAUCAGUAGCUGGUCUGAGAGGAUGAUCAGCCACAUUGGGACUGAGACACGGCCCAAACUCCUACGGGAGGCAGCAGUGGGGAAUAUUGGACAAUGGGGGCAACUCUGAUCCAGCCAUGCCGCGUGAGUGAUGAAGGCCUUAGGGUUGUAAAGCUCUUUUACCUGGGAAGAUAAUGACGGUACAGGAGAAUAAGCCCCGGCUAACUUCGUGCCAGCCGCCGCCGUAA